CUCAAGUGAGUUGUGACAUGAAGCUCCCAAGCUCGGACCUUAUGCUUUUCACUCGUAUUUUACCUACGUGUUUUAAACCAUUAACGCGUGAGCUUUAAAAAGCUUAGUAAGUACUCAAAGAUAAGUCGACUUAUCCUAUCCUAAUAUAAAUGUUGAGUCUCUUAUCAAGAACUAUUCAAGAUUCAUUUCCAUUAUAUUAUGCCAUUUUUCAACUAAUUCAAAUUUGAUUAUCGAAUUAUGGAACUCAACAUACUGGUCAAUGGUUCUUUAACAAUUCACAAUAGAAAUUCAUGUUGAAGAUCAUCAUCAAGGUUAUUGAUAUUUUCCAUUCUAAGUCCAUAGCCCUUUUCACUUAACUUUCUAACUUAUUCACGGGUGAGUACCACAUAUGGCUAUGAGAAGUGGGAAAACUCACAUGGGAAUAAUUUAGAAAGUUAAGUUUAUAAAAAGAAAAAUUUAUAAGUCCAAAAACCAAAUAAAUUUAGGAAAAACGUAAGCAGAAUAAUUUAUAAGUCCGAAGUCCAUCAUAUGUCCGCAUGCCAUGUUCGAUCCUAGUCUCAAGCAUUACUUGAGAUGGUUGAAACUAUGGGGUGAGCUAACUAGCAUAAACAUAAUAUUAUUCAUAUAUCAUUCAUCAUUAAUAACAUUGUAACACAAACAUAGCAUAAACAUUACCAUUCAAAAGUGUCAUGGACAAAACAUAAUACAUAAUGAUUUCCUACCCCAACCAUCCGCUACACACCACAAGUUCCCCAGAACUCAUCUGCCAAACUCCAUACAUUGCGAGUUGAGCUCAAUGUGGUUAAACCACCAUUAUAUGUAAUGAAGAUAUACUGCCAUUCAAAAUAAAUAUGAUAUAAUCGUUGUUCUCCUCAUUACUCCCAGUGCAGUGCACUGACAACAUAUAUGCGGACUUAAUAUGCCUCCAUUACUUCACGGAACUCCUCCUUCAUCCACAUAAUCCCAUCCUAUGCACAUGUAAUAUGUCAUACAAAUUUCAAUUAAAAUCAUGUUUCCAUUACAUUCCCAUUUCAAUAGCAUGUUUUGCAUGCUCAUAACAACAUUCACUUUCAUUCGAUAAUAACAUUUAUCAAUCAUUUAGUUUCACCAUCAAUACAGUGACAUUCCAACAUGUCAUAGUUUCAUUAUCAUUCAUAAGAAAUUUUCCAGUGCAUGUGUAGCAGUCUUUCAUAUAUUUCACAACAUUUUACCCAAACAUACAUUUCAUUUUUAUUCUAAUACGUGCUACUCAUACAACCAGCGUACAUUAUAUCACAAAAUAAUUCAUAUUAAUUCAUAUCAAUACCAGACAUUCAAACAUUCAAUCAGUCAUGCAACAUUGCAAACAUGCCAUUUAUCUAAGGUUCGAAACGUACCUGAUUCAGCCACAUUAAAAUCACUUACUUAGCCAUUUAACUAAGUUUGACCAACAAGCUUAAUCAUCAUUUUAAGUAUUAAAAAGAUUAUUUAACAUUUAAAUUUUAUAGGUUGGAACCCACACCUUAUUUUUGUACAACUGUAGCACUACUUACCAAACUUGCGAUUCCUCCUUUAGACUUAAAUUGAACCUAAAUUAAAAUACAAUAUUUAUCGAGUUAAAAUGUUUCCAAAUCAGCCCUAAAGCACCCUCUUAAAGGUUCAAUCAAAUUAGCAUUACCGUAAUAAUUUUUUGUCUAAAUCGACUAGGCUACUUACACUGAUUUGAUGCGAAACAUACGUACGAAUGAGUUUUGUAGUCAUUGAUGAUCCGAGAAGUUUAAAUCAGCAUAUAAACAUAAUUAAUCCCCAAAAAUCAGUAACCAAAACCCCUGUUCAGAUUUUAAAGCAAUCGACCAAAGAAGAAAUUAGUAAUAAAGAAAAACAGUGCAAGAUCUCGCACAAGUUUGCACUUUGCACCACCCAUUACCCUGAUCUGAGUUGUCGGAUGAACAUCUUUCUGAAUUAUCAAUUAGGAACGUUUAAAUCAGAACCAAAUAGAGGGAAAAAUCUAAAAAAUUAAAAUAGUAGGGGCGAAAAUUGAAGAGAAACGACAAUCCCAAAACAAUGGUACUCUAAGGGCGUGGCAACACCAUUUGAGGUGACAAAAAAGGCAAAUCUGGGGUGCUACAAGGAGGGAUCUUUGGACAACCAAAAAGAAAAAUUUUAAGGGCUAGAAUGAUUGACUUAUUGGAUAUAAAAAUAGUAGCCAAAAAUCGGAUCACAAAGUAUAAGAACAGAGAAAAAAAAAUAGGAUUUACUAGCAUUGAUAUGAACAAGGGAGAGGGAGUGGCAAUGGACAGUAAAAGAGGAUGUUAGGAGAGAAAAAAAAGAAAUUUUAGGGCAGAAAAUAAGGAUGGUUUAGGAGGUCUAAAUGUUCAAUAAGGUGACUGGACAAACCAAAAUAGAAAAACUCUAACAACAGGGCAACACAACUGUGAUGAAAUCCCAAAAAAAGGACGAAACUUUGAGAGAAAAAAAAUAAGAGACGAGAGGAGAACUGCUAGGGUAGGAGAAAAAAAUAGACUUAAGGCUGAAAAGUAAGUGAAAAAGUGAUAUUUAUACUUAGGUUAAAAGGCAUGAGUAGCAUAAAAACAGGGGGAAGGAGAAAAAUUAGCAAAAU
RNAcentral lists this long non-coding RNA (2599 nucleotides) under Gossypium barbadense (sea-island cotton). RNAcentral describes it as "long non-coding RNA (GBAR_LNC005669)". The record is from RNAcentral. Lineage: Eukaryota; Viridiplantae; Streptophyta; Magnoliopsida; Malvales; Malvaceae.